RNAcentral lists this transfer RNA (72 nucleotides) under Camelus bactrianus (Bactrian camel). It matches the Rfam family "tRNA". From Rfam's summary of the family: Transfer RNA (tRNA) molecules are approximately 80 nucleotides in length. Their secondary structure includes four short double-helical elements and three loops (D, anti-codon, and T loops). The record is from Rfam by way of RNAcentral. Lineage: Eukaryota; Metazoa; Chordata; Mammalia; Artiodactyla; Camelidae. RNAcentral also lists the same sequence under 2 other names.
GAGGGUAUAGCUCAGUGGCAGAGCGCAUGCUUAGCAUGCAUGAGGUCCUGGGUUCAAUCCCCAGUACCUCUU